GACGAACGCUGGCGGCGUGCUUAACACAUGCAAGUCGAACGAUGAAGCCGGAGCUUGCUCUGGUGAAUUAGUGGCGAACGGGUGAGUAACACGUGAGUAACCUGCCCUUGACUCUGGGAUAACUGCGGGAAACUGUAGCUAAUACCGGAUACGACCCUCGGAGGCAUCUCCUGGGGGUGGAAAGAAUUUCGGUCAAGGAUGGACUCGCGGCCUAUCAGCUAGUUGGUGAGGUAAAGGCUCACCAAGGCGACGACGGGUAACCGGCCUGAGAGGGGGACCGGCCACACUGGGACUGAGACACGGCCCAGACUCCUACGGGAGGCAGCAGUGGGGAAUAUUGCACAAUGGGCGCAAGCCUGAUGCAGCAGCGCCGCGUGAGUGAUGACGGCCUUCGGGUUGUAAACCUCUUUUAGCAGGGAAGAAGCGAAAGUGACGGUACCUGCAGAAAAAGCACCGGCUAACUACGUGCCAGCCGCCGCCGUAA
RNAcentral lists this ribosomal RNA (484 nucleotides) under uncultured bacterium. Its description in RNAcentral is "partial 16S ribosomal RNA". It matches the Rfam family "Bacterial small subunit ribosomal RNA", at positions 28 to 523 of the family's 1533-position model. The record is from RNAcentral.